CGGUGGUAAUAACAGCAAUUCUGGUGGCAUUAGAAGGCCCUACUAUGAUACUUGGUUCCAAUGGGCCUGGAAAAGAAUCAGCAGUAGCAUUUGACUGGAGAUCAUCAAGAGAAGGUGGUUUUGAAGGUGACAGUGAUAAGGGAGAAAAGGUAGUAGGCAUCAGCAUCAACCUUAGACUCAGAGGCAGAGUCAGAAGCUUAGCGUCAAAAAGAAGAGUUCCAUCACCACCACCUGCUCCCAUGAGAAAUCGAGAGAAGAUAACAGUCAAAACACGAGCUUCUCCUCCUGCUGUUCACUAUCGUCAC
Molecule: small RNA, 305 nt
Filed under: Vigna angularis var. angularis
Lineage: Eukaryota; Viridiplantae; Streptophyta; Magnoliopsida; Fabales; Fabaceae
Description: Non-protein coding transcript
Source: RNAcentral